UCCGGUUGAUCCCGCCGGAGGUUACUGCUAUCGGUGUUCGACUAAGCCAUGCAAGUCAUAUGUUCCUCGUGAACAUGGCAUACUGCUCAGUAACACGUGGAUAACCUGCCCUUGGGUCUGGGAUAACCCCGGGAAACUGGGGAUAAUACCGGAUAACGCAUAUGUGCUGGAAUGCUUUAUGCGUAAAAUGGAUUCGUCCGCCCAAGGAUGGGUCUGCGGCCUAUCAGGUAGUAGUGGGUGUAAUGUACCUACUAGCCAACAACGGGUACGGGUUGUGAGAGCAAGAGCCCGGAGAUGGAUUCUGAGACAUGAAUCCAGGCCCUACGGGGCGCAGCAGGCGCGAAAACUUUACAAUGCGGGAAACCGUGAUAAGGGAACACCGAGUGCCAGCAUCAUAUGCUGGCUGUCCAGAUGUGUAAACUACAUCUGUUAGCAAGGGCCGGGCAAGACCGGUGCCAGCCGCCGCGGUAACACCGGCGGCCCGAGUGGUGACCGUUAUUAUUGGGUCUAAAGGGUCCGUAGCCGGUUUGGUCAGUCCUCCGGGAAAUCUGAUAGCUUAACUGUUAGGCUUUCAGGGGAUACUGCCAUG
RNAcentral lists this ribosomal RNA (589 nucleotides) under uncultured archaeon. Its description in RNAcentral is "bacterial SSU rRNA". It matches the Rfam family "Archaeal small subunit ribosomal RNA", at positions 1 to 591 of the family's 1478-position model. The record is from RNAcentral.